Molecule: long non-coding RNA, 137 nt
Organism: Zingiber officinale
Lineage: Eukaryota; Viridiplantae; Streptophyta; Magnoliopsida; Zingiberales; Zingiberaceae
Exons: 3
Source: RefSeq, a predicted model, not a curated record
UUGAGGAAGACAUGGAGCAAAUAUUUAAGCGGCUGCCAAAGACAAGGCAAACUGCUCUAUUUACAGCUACCCAAACUAAGCAGGUUGAGGAUUUUGCGAACUUGUCAUUUAAGGAAAAGCCUGUAUAUGUAGGUGUU